UGCUGGAGGUAUCAGAAGUGCGAAUGCUGACAUAAGUAACGAUAAAGCGGGUGAAAAGCCCGCUCGCCGGAAGACCAAGGGUUCCUGUCCAACGUUAAUCGGGGCAGGGUGAGUCGACCCCUAAGGCGAGGCCGAAAGGCGUAGUCGAUGGGAAACGGGUUAAUAUUCCCGUACUUGGUGUUACUGCGAAGGGGGGACGGAGAAGGCUAUGUUGGCCGGGCGACGGUUGUCCCGGUUUAAGCGUGUAGGUGUGUGUUCCAGGUAAAUCCGGUUCACUUUAACACUGAGGCGUGACGACGAGGCACUACGGUGCUGAAGCAACAAAUGCCCUGCUUCCAGGAAAAGCCUCUAAGCAUCAGGUAACAUCAAAUCGUACCCCAAACCGACACAGGUGGUCAGGUAGAGAAUACCAAGGCGCUUGAGAGAACUCGGGUGAAGGAACUAGGCAAAAUGGUGCCGUAACUUCGGGAGAAGGCACGCUGACACGUAGGUGAAGUGAUUUACUCAUGGAGCUGAAGUCAGUCGAAGAUACCAGCUGGCUGCAACUGUUUAUUAAAAACACAGCACUGUGCAAACACGAAAGUGGACGUAUACGGUGUGACGCCUGCCCGGUGCCGGAAGGUUAAUUGAUGGGGUCAGCGCAAGCGAAGCUCCUGAUCGAAGCCCCGGUAAACGGCGGCCGUAACUAUAACGGUCCUAAGGUAGCGAAAUUCCUUGUCGGGUAAGUUCCGACCUGCACGAAUGGCGUAAUGAUGGCCAGGCUGUCUCCACCCGAGACUCAGUGAAAUUGAACUCGCUGUGAAGAUGCAGUGUACCCGCGGCAAGACGGAAAGACCCCGUGAACCUUUACUAUAGCUUGACACUGAACAUUGAGCCUUGAUGUGUAGGAUAGGUGGGAGGCUUUGAAGUGUGGACGCCAGUCUGCAUGGAGCCGACCUUGAAAUACCACCCUUUAAUGUUUGAUGUUCUAACGUGGACCCGUAAUCCGGGUUGCGGACAGUGUCUGGUGGGUAGUUUGACUGGGGCGGUCUCCUCCUAAAGAGUAACGGAGGAGCACGAAGGUUGGCUAAUCCUGGUCGGACAUCAGGAGGUUAGUGCAAUGGCAUAAGCCAGCUUGACUGCGAGCGUGACGGCGCGAGCAGGUGCGAAAGCAGGUCAUAGUGAUCCGGUGGUUCUGAAUGGAAGGGCCAUCGCUCAACGGAUAAAAGGUACUCCGGGGAUAACAGGCUGAUACCGCCCAAGAGUUCAUAUCGACGGCGGUGUUUGGCACCUCGAUGUCGGCUCAUCACAUCCUGGGGCUGAAGUAGGUCCCAAGGGUAUGGCUGUUCGCCAUUUAAAGUGGUACGCGAGCUGGGUUUAGAACGUCGUGAGACAGUUCGGUCCCUAUCUGCCGUGGGCGCUGGAGAACUGAGGGGGGCUGCUCCUAGUACGAGAGGACCGGAGUGGACGCAUCACUGGUGUUCGGGUUGUCAUGCCAAUGGCACUGCCCGGUAGCUAAAUGCGGAAGAGAUAAGUGCUGAAAGCAUCUAAGCACGAAACUUGCCCCGAGAUGAGUUCUCCCUGAGACUUAGAGUCUCCUGAAGGAACGUUGAAGACGACGACGUUGAUAGGCCGGGUGUGUAAGCGCAGCGAUGCGUUGAGCUAACCGGUACUAAUGAACCGUGAGGCUUAACCUU
RNAcentral lists this ribosomal RNA (1676 nucleotides) under Salmonella enterica subsp. enterica serovar Heidelberg. Its description in RNAcentral is "partial 23S ribosomal RNA". It matches the Rfam family "Bacterial large subunit ribosomal RNA", at positions 1271 to 2925 of the family's 2925-position model. Lineage: Bacteria; Pseudomonadati; Pseudomonadota; Gammaproteobacteria; Enterobacterales; Enterobacteriaceae. The record is from RNAcentral. RNAcentral also lists the same sequence under 38 other names.